This 442-nucleotide ribosomal RNA is filed under the name uncultured bacterium. Its description in RNAcentral is "partial 16S ribosomal RNA". It matches the Rfam family "Bacterial small subunit ribosomal RNA", at positions 338 to 795 of the family's 1533-position model. The record is from RNAcentral.
CCUACGGGAGGCAGCAGUAGGGAAUCUUUCACAAUGGGCGAAAGCCUGAUGGAGCAACGCCGCGUGCAGGAUGAAGGCCUUCGGGUUGUAAACUGCUUUUAUAAGCGAGAAAUAUGAUGGUAACUUAUGAAUAAGGAUCGGCUAACUACGUGCCAGCAGCCGCGGUCAUACGUAGGAUUCGAGCAUUAUCCGGAGUGACUGGGUGUAAAGAGUUGCGUAGGUGGCAUAAUAAGUAGCUAGUGAAAUCUGGUGGCUCAACCAUUCAGACUAUUAGCUAAACUGUUAAGCUCGAGACCGUUAGGGGUAACUGGAAUUUCUAGUGUAGGAGUGAAAUCCGUAGAUAUUAGAAGGAACACCAAUAGCGUAGGCAGGUUGCUGGGACGGUUCUGACACUAAGGCACGAAAGCGUAGGGAGCAAACGGGAUUAGAUACCCCAGUAGUC